UUGCAUCUUUUGACAGCCCAGUGUCUUGUGAUGUUUAGAUGCCUGGGUUUUAUUAUACAGAUGCGAAAUUAAAAGUCCCUGCGCUUUCUUCGUGUCCUGUCAGUGACCUAGAAGAUUGAAUUGGGGACUACAGAA
Small nucleolar RNA from Astyanax mexicanus (Mexican tetra), 135 nucleotides. NCBI's taxonomy places the organism in Eukaryota, Metazoa, Chordata, Actinopteri, Characiformes, Acestrorhamphidae. The record is from Ensembl.